RNAcentral lists this ribosomal RNA (858 nucleotides) under Triticum aestivum (bread wheat). Its description in RNAcentral is "partial small subunit ribosomal RNA". Lineage: Eukaryota; Viridiplantae; Streptophyta; Magnoliopsida; Poales; Poaceae. The record is from RNAcentral.
AUGAUUGCAGAUUUUGCUGCUAUGAUUGCAGAUUUCAAGGGCCCAGAUAAGCAUAUGAUUGGGUACAAGGAUCUGCCAACCAUUGAUGCGGAUUCCAAGAAAGAAUUGUAUCCAGGUUGCAAAAAGAAAUAUUCCAGGUUGAGUGCCAUCCUGGCGCUUCUCAGAUUUAAAGCAACAAACGGUCUAUCAAACAAGGGAUUCACAGAGAUGUUAGGUCUUUUGAAAGAAAUUCUUCCUGAAGAUAAUGUGCUCCCUAGAAGCACGAAUGAAGCGAAGAAAAUUGUUUGCCCAUUGGAACUUGAAGUACAGAAGAUGCACGCUUGUGUGAAGGAUUGUAUAUUGUACCGUGGUGAGUACAAAGAUUUUGGUGCAUGUCCCACAUGCAAGCAUGCACAAUACAAGCGCAGAAGAGCAAAGGAAAAGACAACGAUGGCAUAUCACGCGGACCCAUUCAUUCUUGCCAGCGAUGCUACCCAGAUUUUCUUUGUGGAAGACCCCUUGCAUAAGAACGGCCAUUUAGUGAUGCAUGGGAAGAGAAGGGUACUGGGUGUCGACGAUGUUGCCGAUCAGGACGAGUACGAUGAAUUUGAUGUGCCAGCCAAGGGAUCACACACCAGUGCAACAGAGAAGACGUUUAAAAUCAUCAAAAACCCCAAGUUCAUUCGGGGUCAACUUAAUGAUCCCAGUUCCCCCAUGUACAUGGGAAUUAAGCUAGGUAGCACACUCAAUCGAUCUCACUACAGUAUGUGUGAACAAAAAUAUGCAAUCUGGUUUGCGAAUAGCACACGGUUCGUUGAUGAAAGCCGUGUGCCGACCAAACCCCGCCACCCCGCCCACGAUCUGAGUCGUGCUUUCUGA